UUGUUGCAUGAAAGCAAGCUAGCAUGCCCUUUGACAAGGAUGGAAGUGGUCCUAAUGGCCUGCAAUGCAAAUACAGUUAAAAUACUACUGCGUUUAGUAUACAGUAUGUAAUAAAAUACUUCU
Small nuclear RNA from Clarias gariepinus (North African catfish), 123 nucleotides. NCBI's taxonomy places the organism in Eukaryota, Metazoa, Chordata, Actinopteri, Siluriformes, Clariidae. The record is from RefSeq and is a predicted model, not a curated record.